Molecule: ribosomal RNA, 403 nt
Filed under: Fusobacteriota bacterium
Lineage: Bacteria; Fusobacteriati; Fusobacteriota
Description: Fusobacteria bacterium partial 16S ribosomal RNA
Rfam family: Bacterial small subunit ribosomal RNA
Source: RNAcentral
UGGGGAAUUUUGCACAAUGGAGGAAACUCUGAUGCAGCGACGCCGCGUGAGUGAUGAAGAUCUUCGGAUUGUAAAACUCUGUCCUUAGUGAAGAUAAUGACAGUAACUAAGAAGCAAGCCCUGGCUAAAUACGUGCCAGCAGCCGCGGUAAUACGUAUGGGGCAAGCGUUGUCCGGAAUUAUUGGGCGUAAAGGGUACGUAGGCGGUUUAAUAAGUCCUAAUUAAAAGGCUAUGGCUCAACCAUAGUAUGGUUAGGAAACUGUUGAACUUGAGUAGAUGAGGGGAAAGUGGAAUUCCAUGUGUAGCGGUGAAAUGCGUAGAUAUAUGGAGGAACACCAAUGGCGAAGGCAACUUUCUGGAAGCAAACUGACGCUGAGGUACGAAGGCGUGGGGAGCAAACAGG